This 206-nucleotide long non-coding RNA is filed under the name Coffea arabica (coffee). RNAcentral's name for it is "long non-coding RNA (CARA_LNC002210)". The record is from RNAcentral. Lineage: Eukaryota; Viridiplantae; Streptophyta; Magnoliopsida; Gentianales; Rubiaceae.
ACUCAUUUGCAAUUAAACCAGGGACUGAAUUGAAAGUAGUUGAAAAUAUCCAGGGGCACAGUGAAAUUAAAGAAAAGUACAGGGACUGAUCUGCAAAUGCAUUCUCUGGUUUCUUAAUGGACCAGGCCAUGGGGCCAUUUAUUAUUUGUUUGGGCCGAACCUUCCCAACCCAAUCAAAAAAUCAAAGAAAAAGAUGGGCUGGCCUU